Long non-coding RNA from Heteronotia binoei (common prickly gecko), 357 nucleotides. RefSeq lists it as uncharacterized. The record is from RefSeq and is a predicted model, not a curated record. The transcript is spliced from 2 exons. Lineage: Eukaryota; Metazoa; Chordata; Lepidosauria; Squamata; Gekkonidae.
AGAAGGUAGUGUUUUGCCACUUUGAGCCAGUGGUGAGCGUGAGCCAUCAUAGAGAGAACGUUGUUGAAGACUUUGUGUCCCUAUGAAUCUUGCCUAGAGAUUGUGAUAUUUAUUAUCCUUGUGUGGCAGAAGUCAGUGACUUGUCCAAGGAAUUCUAAUUCUACCACUGAGAUAUUUGCACAGUGGAUACAUCGAUAAGAAGACAUUUACUACUAAUCCUUUUACAAUGGACCUUCAAAAGGGAUUCGUUAGAAUUUACCAUUUGUAUUAUUUGUUUCACUUUGUAAUAUAUUAGUCAUUUUGUCACUAUAACCUGAGGGUUGGCAACCCUAGUAAAUCUACACCAGAUUCCCAUUA